Molecule: RNA transcript, 4509 nt
Organism: Cercocebus atys (sooty mangabey)
Lineage: Eukaryota; Metazoa; Chordata; Mammalia; Primates; Cercopithecidae
Gene: DGKZ
Gene name: diacylglycerol kinase, zeta
Exons: 31
Source: RefSeq, a predicted model, not a curated record
CAUAACGGCUGUCUCAGGCAGCGGGGAGGAGGGUGACAAGGGGGAGGGGGCAGAGGAGCAGCCACGGCCGCUCGCUCUCCAAACUAGGACUUGCUCAGCAGAGGCCGCCAGCCCGGAGCUGGAGCCAGAGCCCGGCAUUGGGGACCCCAGCUCCCUUCUGCUUGCCCCGCUCCCGCCUGCGCCCUGCCUUCCAGAUCAGCCACCCGCCUGCCAUGGAGACUUUCUUUAGGAGACAUUUCCAGUGGAAGGUGCCAGGCCCUGGAGAGGGGCAGCGGCGGCCCAGCGGUGUGGGGCUGCCCACGGGCAAGGCCCGGCGUCGCUCCCCCGCUGGGCAGGCCUCCUCCUCACUGGCACAGCGGCGCCGCUCCAGUGCCCAGCUCCAGGGCUGCCUCCUGAGCUGCGGGGUGAGGGCCCGGGGUUCCAGCCGCCGGCGCUCCAGCACUGUGCCCCCUUCCUGCAACCCCCGCUUCAUCGUGGAUAAGGUGCCCACUCCACAGCCUACCACUGUGGGGGCCCAGCUUCUUGGCGCACCCCUGCUGUUGACCGGGCUUGUGGGCAUGAAUGAGGAGGAGAAGGGUGUCCAGGAGGAUGUGGCAGCCGGGGCGUGGAGCGCCGUCCAGCCAGGCACCAAGACACCAGGGCCAUCCCCACCCCAGGGCGCCAGGCCGCUGUCUUCCCUGCCCCGCUACCUGCGCCGAGCCUCCUCCCACCUGCUCCCUGCGGAUGCCGUGUAUGACCACGCUCUCUGGGGCCUGCACGGCUACUAUCGGCGCCUCAGCCAGCGGCGGCCCUCAGGCCAGCACCCUGGCCCUGGGGGCCGAAGAGCCUCAGGCACCACCGCCAGCACCGUGCUGCCCACCCGUGUGCGCCCACUGUCCCGCAGGCGCCAGGUAGCCCUACGGCGCAAGGCGGCGGGACCCCAGGCCUGGAGCGCCCUGCUCGCGAAAGCCAUCACCAAGUCGGGCCUCCAGCACCUGGCCCCGCCUCCACCCACCUCUGGGGCCCCGUGCAGCGAGUCAGAGCGGCAGAUCCGGAGCACAGUGGACUGGAGCGAGUCAGCGACAUAUGGGGAGCACAUCUGGUUUGAGACCAACGUGUCCGGGGACUUCUGCUACGUUGGGGAGCAGUACUGUGUAGCCAGGAUGCUGCAGAAGUCAGUGUCUCGAAGAAAGUGCGCAGCCUGCAAGAUUGUGGUGCACACGCCCUGCAUCGAGCAGCUGGAGAAGAUAAAUUUCCGCUGUAAGCCGUCCUUCCGUGAAUCAGGCUCGAGGAACGUGCGCGAGCCAACCUUUGUACGGCACCACUGGGUACACAGACGACGCCAGGACGGCAAGUGUCGGCACUGUGGGAAGGGAUUCCAGCAGAAGUUCACCUUCCACAGCAAGGAGAUUGUGGCCAUCAGCUGCUCAUGGUGCAAGCAGGCAUACCACAGCAAGGUCUCCUGCUUCAUGCUGCAGCAGAUUGAGGAGCCGUGCUCCCUGGGGGUCCACGCGGCCGUGGUCAUCCCGCCCACCUGGAUCCUCCGUGCACGGAGGCCCCAGAAUACCCUGAAAGCAAGCAAGAAGAAGAAGAGGGCAUCCUUCAAGAGGAAGUCCAGCAAGAAAGGGCCUGAGGAGGGCCGCUGGAGACCCUUCAUCAUCAGACCCACCCCCUCCCCGCUCAUGAAGCCCCUGCUGGUGUUUGUGAACCCCAAGAGUGGGGGCAACCAGGGUGCGAAGAUCAUCCAGUCCUUCCUCUGGUAUCUCAAUCCCCGACAAGUCUUCGACCUGAGCCAGGGAGGGCCCAGGGAGGCGCUGGAGAUGUACCGCAAAGUGCACAACCUGCGGAUCCUGGCGUGCGGGGGCGACGGCACGGUGGGCUGGAUCCUCUCUACCCUGGACCAGCUACGCCUGAAGCCGCCGCCCCCUGUUGCCAUCCUGCCCCUGGGUACUGGCAACGACUUGGCCCGAACCCUCAACUGGGGUGGGGGCUACACAGAUGAGCCUGUGUCCAAGAUCCUCUCCCACGUGGAGGAGGGGAACGUGGUACAGCUGGACCGCUGGGACCUCCACGCUGAGCCCAACCCCGAGGCAGGGCCUGAGGACCGAGAUGAAGGCGCCACCGACCGGUUGCCCCUGGAUGUCUUCAACAACUACUUCAGCCUGGGCUUUGAUGCCCAUGUCACCCUGGAGUUCCACGAGUCUCGAGAGGCCAACCCAGAGAAAUUCAACAGCCGCUUUCGGAAUAAGAUGUUCUACGCUGGGACAGCCUUCUCCGACUUCCUGAUGGGCAGCUCCAAGGACCUGGCCAAGCACAUCCGAGUGGUGUGUGAUGGAACAGACUUGACUCCUAAGAUCCAGGACCUGAAACCCCAGUGUGUUGUUUUCCUGAACAUCCCCAGGUACUGUGCAGGCACCAUGCCCUGGGGCCACCCUGGGGAGCACCACGACUUUGAGCCCCAGCGGCAUGACGACGGCUACCUCGAGGUCAUUGGCUUCACCAUGACGUCCUUGGCCGCGCUGCAGGUGGGCGGGCAUGGCGAGCGGCUGACGCAGUGCCGUGAGGUGGUGCUCACCACGUCCAAGGCCAUCCCGGUGCAGGUGGACGGCGAGCCCUGCAAGCUUGCAGCCUCACGCAUCCGCAUCGCCCUGCGCAACCAGGCCACCAUGGUGCAGAAAGCCAAGCGGCGGAGCGCCGCCCCCCUGCACAGCGACCAGCAGCCGGUGCCCGAGCAGCUGCGCAUCCAGGUGAGUCGCGUCAGCAUGCACGACUACGAGGCCUUGCACUACGACAAGGAGCAGCUCAAGGAGGCCUCCGUGCCGCUGGGCACUGUGGUGGUCCCAGGAGACAGUGACCUAGAGCUCUGCCGCGCCCACAUCGAGAGACUGCAGCAGGAGCCCGAUGGUGCUGGAGCCAAGUCCCCGACAUGUCAGAAACUGUCCCCCAAGUGGUGCUUCCUGGACGCCACCACUGCCAGCCGCUUCUACAGGAUCGACCGAGCCCAGGAGCACCUCAACUAUGUGACUGAGAUCGCACAGGAUGAGAUUUAUAUCCUGGACCCUGAGCUGCUGGGGGCAUCGGCCCGGCCUGACCUCCCGACCCCCACUUCCCCUCUCCCCACCUCACCCUGCUCACCCACGCCCCGGUCAUUGCAAGGGGAUGCCGCACCCCCUGAAGGUGAAGAGCUGAUUGAGGCUGCCAAGAGGAACGACUUCUGUAAGGCCUGUGCUGGUGUACCCGGCUGUGGGCCAGCGUGUCAGCUGGGGGAAGGAGGGGUGGCCCCAGGAGGCCCUGCCCUGCCAUGCCUCCUGCCCUCAGCUCCAGGAGCUGCACCGAGCUGGGGGCGACCUCAUGCACCGAGACGAGCGGAGCCGCACGCUCCUGCACCAUGCAGUCAGCACUGGCAGCAAGGAUGUGGUCCGCUACCUGCUGGACCACGCCCCCCCAGAGAUCCUCGAUGCCGUGGAGGAAAAGUGAGUAUCUGGGCAGUGCAGGACCCUGGUCAUCCCAGAAACCGCCCUUUUCCCCACCCCUCCCAUUUUGUCAGGUCAGAGCCCGUAAACUUUCUGGCCACAUCUGUCAUCCCCUGGGCCACCCCUGUUGCCCCAGAGCCCCGAACUUCGUGCCUUUUCUGAUGGCCCUUGGGAGACAGAUGGGUGGAUCAGGGGCCGGGAUGGGGUACACAGCCAGCCCCUGCUCCCCCAGCGGGGAGACCUGUUUGCACCAGGCAGCGGCCCUGGGCCAGCGCACCAUCUGCCACUACAUCGUGGAGGCCGGGGCCUCGCUCAUGAAGACAGACCAGCAGGGAGACACUCCCCGGCAGCGGGCUGAGAAGGCUCAGGACACCGAGCUGGCCGCCUACCUGGAGAACCGGCAGCACUACCAGAUGAUCCAGCGGGAGGACCAGGAGACGGCUGUGUAGCGGGCUGCCCACGGGCAGCAGGAGGGACAAUGCGGCCAGGGGACGAGCGCCCUCCUUGCUCACCUCACUGCCACAUUCCAGUGGGACGGCCACGGGGGGACCCAGGCCCCAGGGAAAGAACCCCGUGCCGCGCCCUAAGGAGCCGCCCAAACCUAGGGCUGGAUUCAGGAGCUGGGGGCCUCACCUGUCCCCCUGAGGCCCCCAACGGACCCGGAGGCUCACAGGGGAACAGGACAGGGCUGGGUUGGACAUGCCUUUGCGGGGGGAUUCUGGGUCAGGGCGCUCCCUGGCCGCAGCAGAUGCCCUCCGAGGAGUGGAGGGGCUGGAGAGAGAGGGAGGCCUUCGGAAAGAGGCUUCCUGGGCCCCCUGGUCUUCGGCCGGGCCCCCAGCCCCCGCUCUUGCCCCACCCCACCUCCCCCGGGCUUCCUCCCGGACACCCAGCGCCUGCUGCACUUGCCCGCCCUGCCCUGCUUGGCACCCGCUCCGGCGACCCUCCCCGCUCCCCCGUCAUUUCAUCGCGGACUGUGCGGCCUGGGGGUGGGGGGCGGGACUCUCACGGUGACAUGUUUACAGCUGGGUGUGACUCAGUAAAGUGGAUUUUUUUCUUU